RNAcentral lists this long non-coding RNA (1393 nucleotides) under Daphnia magna. Its description in RNAcentral is "uncharacterized LOC116936094, transcript variant X1". The record is from RNAcentral. Lineage: Eukaryota; Metazoa; Arthropoda; Branchiopoda; Diplostraca; Daphniidae.
CUACUAGUAAAACCCAAAGCAUUGUUUUGACAAGUACUGUCAUAUUUCGGUUGCAGGUUUUCAUUAAAUACCAAGUAAGGUCGACUCCAUGGGUCAGCUAAAAAUACCCGAAAAUCGUCAAAAAUCUCAAAUUUUCCUGAACUAAAAAAAUCACGAUUUUGGUCAAAUCCGACUUUUGGCUAAAAACACGUCAUUCCAAGGCAGAAAAACUAGAUGGCGUUUAUGUGUGUCUAUGAUAAAUAUUACGAGUGACAAGUUAAAUGGGUGUUUGUUACGUUUAUACCUGUUUAGUGCUUCAAAGGAUUUUUCGUCAAAAAAAUUGCGGGUUUUGCCUUGUCAGCUGCUGAACCAGUAGCCUGCAUUCCUGCUAUCAAUGUACCACAAGGGAUGCUGACACUUUAAGAAGAACAACAGUGACCACUAUGCCCGAGACAUGAACAUCACCAUCCUGUUCAGAGUCUUCAUCUACUAUGUAUUGCUAACCAUCAGCCUUCAGCAUCCCAUGUAUCCAGAUUUUGAAGCUUCUCUGCUUAGCCAACCAUCCUCCAUACACUUCAACUCUUCAUUGUGGCUUCUCUUCUUUUCUUCUUAGCCUGCCGAAUGCAAACAGGAAUAAAGGUUCAUAUCCAUUGAUGCCAUAUCAUGAAAUUGAAAAUGUCAUCGUUAAUCCUGCUGCCAAAUCGUCUUUCCGUACGAGUCAUGCAGUUUUAGAUUUCUCGUGGAAUUUCCUUGCAAAAUCCACCCAGGCUUAAAAGGGCAUCCUACCAGUUGUUGUCAUACCUGCCUCGCCGUCUUCGCCUUACCGUCAUUGCCGCAUAAUCUUUGCUCGCGCCCGGCUUCUCUUCAUCGCCGUCAUCGUGGAACGUCGCGUUUUUGGUAUUUUGAUUUGUUGGUGUUUUGUUUUGUUUUGUGUUGUUUUGUAUUGUUGUAUAGUGUAUGUUUAAAGUUAACCCGUUGGCUGCCACCCAUUUUGCUCCCCUUUUUUUUUUAGUUGUAGGGACCGGCGGCGCUGUUCUGCCCCAUGGUUGAUCACCCAUGGGGUGGGGCAGUCGCCUUGCGCCUUAGGGCGCCGUAGGCAAUGCACCAGUAGGGACUUUCCCUUGUCGAUGCGAUGGUGGAGUACCUGGGGUGUGCAUUCCCGUAAAGGUCUCCAUCGUCAAGUCAGCCCGGACUUGUCUUCGGACAAGUCCCCCUUUCAUCGGAUCCCUCUGAAACGAUGCGUAGCUAUUGUAGAAGAACAACCUAUGGGUUGUAAUGGCUUGGCAGCCAACGGGUUAACUUAAGUGUUUGUAUUCCUAUGCAUGUAUGUAUUGUAUUUAUUUUAUAAUGUGUGAUGUAAAACUGUGGUGGAAUUGUGGGUGGAGGUGGGAUAAUACAAAACCAAUUUCAUUUA